This is a long non-coding RNA of Salarias fasciatus (jewelled blenny), 467 nucleotides long. RefSeq lists it as uncharacterized. Lineage: Eukaryota; Metazoa; Chordata; Actinopteri; Blenniiformes; Blenniidae. The transcript has 3 exons. The record is from RefSeq and is a predicted model, not a curated record.
UCUCUCUGUGCAUAUAAUCCAACUAAAUAAUUACUUUGCACUAUGUUCUGGCCAUAUUAACGCAGUGGAUUGUCUUAAGUCGGACUGUGCCAGGGCUCUGCGCUGUUUGGAGAUUUGAAAAGUGUUCUUUUGCUGCGCUCUGUGGGUUAAUAACCUCUCCACGCACUAUAACCACUGCGUUUUGAUCCCGGUAAUACGUUGGAUAGAGCGUUUUUCUGGCUUGCCCACGGCUUGGACCACUCUACAGAAGACCUGUCGCCCCGUGGUUGCAAACUCUUUGUGGCCCCACAUACCGCCGCUGUGAUUAUAGAAGUGCCUCCUCUCCCUUGUUAAAGAAGCAAAGCUCUAAUCUAGCCUCUGUGUCGCCCCCAAAGCCAGCGUGCUAUAGUGAAAAUGUGCGUGCGCGCGUGCGCGUGUGCGCGCAUGUGUGAUGGGAAGAGUGAGUGGGGGUCGGUCGGAACGAGAGA